CAACCCUCAGGCCCAGCCUGGCGUUGGGGCUCUGCCGUCCGCGGCAGGCCCUCAAAGACAGCGGCGGGUGCGCCUUGGUACCGAACGCAGUAAUUAUGCCUCGUUCUGGGACCUCAGCGCUCUCCGGCCGUAAAACCCCCUAUUUUCUUAU
Molecule: unclassified non-coding RNA, 151 nt
Filed under: uncultured Chaetosphaeriaceae
Lineage: Eukaryota; Fungi; Ascomycota; Sordariomycetes; Chaetosphaeriales; Chaetosphaeriaceae
Description: sequence contains ITS2
Source: RNAcentral